This 465-nucleotide ribosomal RNA is filed under the name uncultured bacterium. RNAcentral describes it as "partial 16S ribosomal RNA". It matches the Rfam family "Bacterial small subunit ribosomal RNA", at positions 338 to 795 of the family's 1533-position model. The record is from RNAcentral.
CCUACGGGGGGCAGCAGUGGGGAAUAUUGCGCAAUGGGCGAAAGCCUGACGCAGCGACGCCGCGUGAGGGAUGAAGGUCUUCGGAUCGUAAACCUCUGUCAGCAGGGAAGAACGGUCACUGUGCUAAUCAGCAGUGAAUUGACGGUACCUGCAAAGGAAGCACCGGCUAACUCCGUGCCAGCAGCCGCGGUAAUACGGAGGGCGCGAGCGUUAAUCGGAAUUACUGGGCGUAAAGCGCGCGUAGGCUGUUGUGUAAGUUGGGGGUGAAAUCCCACGGCUCAACCGUGGAACAGCCCUUGGUAAUGCGCGACUUGAAUCCGGGAGAGGGUGGCAGAAUUCCAGGUGUAGGAGUGAAAUCCGUAGAUAUCUGGAGGAACAUCAGUGGCGAAGGCGGCCACCUGGACCGGUAUUGACGCUGAGGCGCGAAAGCGUGGGGAGCAAACAGGAUUAGAUACCCCUGUAGUC